This 485-nucleotide ribosomal RNA is filed under the name uncultured bacterium. Its description in RNAcentral is "bacterial SSU rRNA". It matches the Rfam family "Bacterial small subunit ribosomal RNA", at positions 28 to 507 of the family's 1533-position model. The record is from RNAcentral.
GAUGAACGCUAGCGGAGGCUUAACACACGCAAGUCGAGGGGCAGCAUAGGGUAGCAAUACUCUGAUGGCGACCGGCAAACGGGUGAGUAACGCGUAUGCAACCUACCCUGUACAGGGGGAUAACCCGGAGAAAUUCGGACUAAUAUCCCGUAAUAAUAUCCGGAGGCAUCUUUGGAUAUUAAAGUUCCGACGGUACGGGAUGGGCAUGCGUAACAUUAACUGGUUGGUAAGGUAACGGCUUACCAAGGCUAUGAUGUUUAGGGGUCCUGAGAGGGUGGUCCCCCACACUGGUACUGAGACACGGACCAGACUCCUACGGGAGGCAGCAGUGAGGAAUAUUGGUCAAUGGGCGCAAGCCUGAACCAGCCAUCCCGCGUGCAGGAAGACGGCCCUAUGGGUUGUAAACUGCUUUUCCAGGGAGAGAAACUUACGCACGUGUUGCGUGACUGACGGUACCCUGGGAAUAAGCAUCGGCUAACUCCGUG